GCAUAUUUUCUUGCUUUAUAUUAUUAUUUAUUUGUUUUAGAAAUAUCUUUAUUUUUAGUAUAUUAAAGAACAAAGUUUUUAUUGUGAUAGCUUAUUAGUACCGUAGGGGAACUACUGAUGAAAUAUUUUGAAAAUUUUAAAUUCUUUUAAGUAGAUUUUAUUUAUUGUACCUUUUGUAUCAGGGUUGAUUAAAUAUAUUUAAUUUAUGUUCCGUUCUCGAUUUCAGAAGAGCUAUAUUUAAAUUGUAGUUGUUGUUUCAUAACCAUAGCUAAUUUAAUUUUAGAGGAGAAAUUCCAUUCGAUUUUAAAGGUAUCUAGUUUUUUAAGAAUUAAAUUUAAUUUAGACUUGAUUGUUAAGUGGUUAAUUUAUUAAUUACUUAUGUGUUAAUGUUGAGAUUUUAGGGGACAAGCUCUGGAUUAUAUACUAAAAGUAUAAAUUGAUAUUAUGUUUUGUAGGAUUUGAAACGUUCAUCAUUUGUAAGUUCGUUAUAGUUUAUUAUGUUUUGUAUUGAUUUUUUUGUGUUUUAGUAUUUUAUUAAAAUGAUGCUUUUAAUAUUAUAAAUUUUGCAAUAAUGAUUAAAUUAGUAUAGAAUUUUGUAUAUUAUAUUUAUUUUGAUAUAAUUAGAUAAGGAAUUCGGCAAAAAUAGUGCUCGCCUGUUUAUCAAAAACAUGUCCUCUUGUUUGUAUAGGAGGUCUGACCUGCCCGGUGAAUAGAUUUUAACGGCCGCGGUAUUUUGACCGUGCAAAGGUAGCAUAAUCAUUAGUCUUUUAAUAGAGGGCUGGAAUGAAAGGUUUGACGAGGUUCUAGCUGUCUCAUUUAAUUUGAGAUUAGAAUUUAACUUUUCAGUCAAAAGGCUGAGAUGAUAUUGGAAGACGAGAAGACCCUAUAGAGCUUUAUAGCUGUGGACUAUAGUUAGUUUUUGUUUAUGAUUACUAAUUAUAGUCCUAGCUAUUUUGUUGGGGUGACAAAAAUAUAUAAUCAACUUUUUUAUUAAUUUUACAUUGAUGUAUGAGUUUAGGAUCCAAUCUUAUUGAUUACUAGAUUAAGUUACCUUAGGGAUAACAGCGUAAUCUUCCUUCAGAGUUCAUAUUUACAGGAAGGCUUGCGACCUCGAUGUUGGAUUAAGAAAAUAAUUAGGUGUAGCCGCUGUAAUGUAUAGGAUCUUGUUCGACCUUUUAAUUCCUUACNU
Molecule: ribosomal RNA, 1189 nt
Filed under: Stylogomphus shirozui
Lineage: Eukaryota; Metazoa; Arthropoda; Insecta; Odonata; Gomphidae
Description: partial 16S ribosomal RNA
Source: RNAcentral